GUGCCAGCAGCCGCGGUAAGACAGAGGGUGCAAACGUUGUUCGGAAUUACUGGGCAUAAAGCGCGCGUAGGCCGUUCGCUAAGUCAGGUGUGAAAGCCCCCGGCUCAACCGGGGAAUUGCAUUUGAUACUGGCGAGCUUGAGGAUGAGAUGGGUGGGCGGAACUCCAGGUGGAGCGGUGAAAUGCGUAGAUAUCUGGAGGAACACCGGUGGCGAAAGCGGCCCACUGGACCAUCACUGACGCUGAGGCGCGAAAGCUAGGGUAGCAAACGGGAUUAGAAACCCUCGUAGUCC
Molecule: ribosomal RNA, 292 nt
Filed under: uncultured bacterium
Lineage: Bacteria
Description: partial 16S ribosomal RNA
Rfam family: Bacterial small subunit ribosomal RNA
Source: RNAcentral